ACAAACUUUUGGCCUUUAAACUAUCUUGCAGGUAUGAGUAUGACUGUACAGAACUAAUGUGUUCUUAAAUAUGGAGGAUUUAAAUAAGGAUGUUAAAUAUGGAGUUAUUAAAUAAGGAUGGAGCAUGAGGACAUUGGGCACAAGACACCGUCCUGGCUGCAUGCUCUUCAGAUCUUCAAAGUAGAUAUAAGUCUUCCCUGAAGAGAACAUGAGAGGUUAUGGAGGCUGUGUUUUUAUAUAUGUGCUGGAUAUUCAAGAAGUGGAAAGUGUGCUGCAUUUACCCUCCAUUUCUGCUAAGAUGCUGCAGAAAUAAAACUACAACUGUGACAAAGCAUCCCAGCUUCACUUUUCAGAGUGGAAACUCUUCAGGCAUGUGCAAUGCUCAAACAAUGGGAGGAACAAACAAAUUCCUAUUCCUUAAGCAGGUAUAUUGUCCUCAGUAUGCAAGGUCAGUCCUGGCAGGCAGUGAGCAUCUACAAAUGGAAGCCAAAUUCUGACAUAACCUUUUGAAGAGCCAUUUUGGGAAGAUGUCUUAACGUUGCAAUGACAUGCCUGCAAUACCUGGUGAGAAAUGGCUAAUGCAGGCUGGGGACAAACAUGGAAACUGGAGAUGCUUUCCUUCCCCUUUGCCAGCCCACCUUCCCUCUGGUAGAAGGAGCAGCUGCCACCACCAGAGCAGAGGCAAGACACUACUGGGGCAUCUUCCUAAACCAAUAGGUUAAGCACAGCCCUUUCAAGAAGUUGCAAUAUGGAGAAGUUCUGUGCUCUAAUGAGCAGUUAAAUGUGGAAGGGUAGGAUGCUGGAAUUAGCUCAUUAAUUAGAUGUCAGUAUAAUCACAGAGGGCUUAGCCAGGACUAGCUGAGCAGCAGGAGAGAGGGGAGCAGCCUGAGAUCUUUACAAGUUGCUCUUAAUGAAGGCAGCCUCUGUUAUCUCUGAGCCACAGCAGAGAGGAAUCCAGGAAGCGCAUGCAUGCUCUCCACUAAUUAAUGUAGCUCUAAUAGGCCUCCAUGUCUGCUUACAGCAGUCCUCAAAAAAAGACACAGGCUGGAAGAUUAUUAUAAUCAUCUUUUCUCAGGCAGAAAGAUAUGGAAAGUUGCUAUCUGUUUUCUUUUGAGAUGGGAACUUAAUUAGAAAAUGGAAGGGAGUGUGUUUGUCCUGAACCAAAUGUCUGGGAGUCUGGAGCUUGGUCUUGAGUUGAACUUUUCCCCAGUCAAAAAUACCAGAUACAAAAAGUAUCAAUUUGUCUGCAAGGAAACAGCACCCUGCACUUCGGAGCUGAAGGCAAACCAGACUACUCAGCCAAACUCAUAAAUAUCCCUUUUGGAGCUCACAGUAACACACAGCACAGCGAGGAGCUUCUCCAGGCAAUUACUAUAACUAACGUAUGGAGGAAACAAAUUCUUCUAUCAUCUUAUCAGGGCACUUGUUUCUUGCAAAUGUAAGUCAUUUUAAUGUACUCAUUAGUCAGUACAGAAGCUAAUCUGCCUGGUGCAGUGU
This 1497-nucleotide long non-coding RNA is filed under the name Phasianus colchicus (ring-necked pheasant). RNAcentral describes it as "lncRNA (ENSPCLG00000003479.1)". Lineage: Eukaryota; Metazoa; Chordata; Aves; Galliformes; Phasianidae. The record is from RNAcentral.